RNAcentral lists this ribosomal RNA (253 nucleotides) under uncultured bacterium. RNAcentral describes it as "partial 16S ribosomal RNA". It matches the Rfam family "Bacterial small subunit ribosomal RNA", at positions 524 to 776 of the family's 1533-position model. The record is from RNAcentral.
UACGAAGGGGGCUAGCGUUGCUCGGAAUCACUGGGCGUAAAGCGCACGUAGGCGGCUUUCUAAGUCAGGGGUGAAAUCCUGGAGCUCAACUCCAGAACUGCCUUUGAUACUGGGAAGCUCGAGUCCGGAAGAGGUGAGUGGAACUCCGAGUGUAGAGGUGAAAUUCGUAGAUAUUCGGAAGAUCACCAGUGGCGAAUGCGGCUCACUGGUCCGGUACUGACGCUGAGGUGCGAAAGCGUGGGGAGCAAACAGG